Molecule: RNA transcript, 7049 nt
Organism: Xyrauchen texanus (razorback sucker)
Lineage: Eukaryota; Metazoa; Chordata; Actinopteri; Cypriniformes; Catostomidae
Gene name: dynamin-1-like
Exons: 24
Source: RefSeq, a predicted model, not a curated record
GAGAGAGACACACACACAGGCAGCGCUCCAGAAUAAUUGAUAAAUGCCGCUGAAAUAAACCAUCAAGCAGCCGCUGAAACGCCCUGAUAUUAGUGACAGGGUGACCGGGAGGUUUCCGUCUUUUCCUCGGUGACAGAGCUCGAGCAGGUGCCGGUAGUGAAGAUGGGGAACCGGGGGAUGGAGGAUCUGAUUCCUCUGGUGAACCGAAUGCAAGACGCGUUCUCCGCCAUCGGACAGAACUCCAAUCUGGACCUGCCGCAGAUCGCGGUGGUGGGCGGACAGAGCGCCGGGAAGAGCUCCGUGCUCGAGAACUUCGUGGGGAGGGACUUCCUCCCUCGUGGAUCUGGGAUCGUCACCCGUCGUCCCCUGGUCCUGCAGCUCAUCAAUUGCCCCACAGAAUAUGGCGAGUUUCUUCACUGUAAGGGGAAGAAGUUUACAGAUUUCGAUGAGAUCCGUCAGGAAAUCGAGGCGGAGACGGAUCGUGUGACGGGGCAGAACAAAGGCAUCUCACCGGUGCCGAUCAACCUGCGUGUCUGCUCACCAAACGUCUUGAAUCUGACUUUGGUGGAUCUGCCAGGAAUGACUAAAGUUCCUGUGGGCGAUCAGCCCGCUGAUAUCGAGCAUCAGAUCAGAGAAAUGCUCAUGCAGUUUGUGACUAAAGAUAACUGUCUGUUGCUCGCCGUGUCGCCCGCAAACUCUGAUCUCGCCAACUCUGAUGCGCUGAAGAUCGCCAAAGAAGUCGACCCGCAGGGUCAGCGUACUAUCGGUGUGAUCACUAAGCUGGAUCUGAUGGAUGAAGGAACCGACGCACGCGACAUCCUGGAAAACAAACUGCUGCCGCUGCGGAGAGGUUACAUUGGUGUGGUGAACCGCAGUCAGAAAGACAUUGAUGGGAAGAAAGAUAUUAACGCUGCGAUGGCGGCGGAGAGAAAGUUCUUCCUGUCUCAUCCCAGUUACAGACACCUGGCCGAUCGCAUGGGAACACCGUACCUGCAGAAAAUCCUCAACCAGCAACUGACCAAUCACAUCCGCGACACGCUGCCCGGGCUGCGCGCAAAACUGCAGAGUCAGCUGCUGUCCAUCGAGAAGGAAGUGGAGGAGUACAAGAACUUCCGUCCAGACGAUCCGUCCCGGAAGACCAAAGCCCUGCUACAAAUGGUUCAGCAGUUCUCUGUGGACUUUGACAAGCGUAUCGAAGGUUCUGGAGAUCAGAUCGACACGUAUGAGCUCUCAGGAGGAGCCAGAAUCAACCGCAUCUUCCAUGAACGAUUUCCAUUCGAGCUGGUGAAGAUGGAGUUCAAUGAGAAGGAGCUGCGUAAGGAGAUCAGUUACGCCAUCAAGAACAUUCACGGCAUCAGGACGGGCCUGUUCACCCCUGACCUUGCCUUUGAGGCCAUAGUGAAAAAGCAGAUCCAAAAGCUAAACGGGCCGUGCCUGAAAUGUAUAGAUAUGGUCGUGAGCGAACUCGCCUCCACCAUUCGCAAAUGUAGUGAGAAGCUGGCGCAGUAUCCCAUGCUGAGAGAAGAAAUGGAGCGAAUCGUCACACAGCACAUCCGGGACCGCGAGAGCCGCACUAAAGAACAGGUGUUGCUGUUGAUUGACAUCGAGCUGGCGUACAUGAACACCAAUCAUGAGGACUUCAUCGGGUUUGCCAAUGCUCAACAGAGAAGCAGUCAAACGAGCAAGAAGAAAGCGGCUGGUAAUCAGGAUGAAAUCAUGGUGAUCAGGAAGGGCUGGCUGACCAUCAACAACAUCGGCAUCAUGAAGGGCGGAGCUAAAGAGUAUUGGUUUGUCAUGACGGCCGAAUCGUUGUCCUGGUACAAGGAUGAUGAGGAGAAGGAGAAGAAGUACAUGCUGCAGGUGGAUAAUCUGAAGCUCAGAGAUGUGGAGAAAGGCUUCAUGUCCAGCAAACACAUCUUUGCCCUGUUCAACACUGAGCAGAGGAACGUGUAUAAGGACUACCGUCAGCUGGAGUUGGCGUGUGAAAGUCAGGAGGACGUGGACGGAUGGAAGGCCUCAUUCCUGCGCGCUGGCGUUUACCCUGAACGAGUGGUGGAGAAGGAGAAGAGUGACGCUAGUGAAGAGAACGGUUCGGACGGUUUCAUGCACUCUAUGGACCCUCAGUUGGAGCGGCAGGUGGAGACCAUCCGUAACCUGGUGGACUCAUACAUGGCCAUCGUCAACAAGACCGUGCGAGAUCUGAUGCCCAAAACCAUCAUGCAUCUGAUGAUCAUUAAUACGAAAGAGUUCAUUAAUGCGGAGCUGUUAGCGCAGUUGUACUCGUGCGGUGAUCAGAACACACUGAUGGAGGAGUCCGCUGAACAGGCGCAGCGGCGCGAUGAGAUGUUGCGCAUGUACUUCGCCCUUAAAGAAGCGCUCAACAUCAUCGGUGACAUCAGCACCACCACCAUCACCACGGCGCUGCCGCCACCUGUAGACGACUCCUGGCUGCAGGUGCAACGUACGGGCUCAGGGGGACGGUCUCCCGCCACCAGUCCGACCCCUCAGAGACGAGCUCCUCCUCCAGGACGCCCAGGAUCUCGCAGCUCCGCCCCGGGCCCCCCUGCUGCAGGUGGACCGCCAGUUCCCUCUCGCCCGGGGGCCUCUCCGGACCCCUCCAGCGGACCCCCACCUCAGGUCCCAUCCCGGCCUAACCGCGGUCCCCCCAGCGUGCCCAGCCGCGGAAUGUGAGAUGCUAACCAGUGUUGUGGCGCUCCCUGAACUCACUGGCCAGAAGACGACACCAAACGCCCAUGAAGGCCGGCCAAACAAGGGUGACCCCCUCUCACCCCGAGAGCUUUAGCAGCUCCUCAUCACUUCUCCUCUACUUUCUGCAUCUCUGUUUUUCUCUCAUCUCACCCUGAACGGAGUAAAACAACCCAGAACCCACCAGCACAACAGAACCCCCCAGAACACUGGACAACAGCGAGAAGAACAUCAAGGAACCCGGCAAAACAUUUAGACGUUCUAAUGAUGUGAUUAAAAGUGUUCAGGUACAGUAUGAGGAUGUGUGUUCACUCUAUGGCAAGCCAUUUGGACAUUUAAUCACACGCAGAAUACGAAUGAAAGAAAUGAUCACAAUAUUAAAGUUCUGAUUCUUGAUAUCAGCCACGGAAAUACUAAUCGAAGGGUUUAUUUCUACAUCAAUGACAUCAGUACUCUCAGAAAUGACCAUUCUUUAUAUGAAAAGAAGAUUCUUGAUAGCCGGUCUGUAACUGCACUUUCACUAUUAGAGGAGUCAUUCGCUCCCGUUCAAAACACAAUUACAGAUAUGAAAAAUAUAAGAAUAUUUCAGUCUGAUUUUUAAGAUUCACACGUUCUAAUUUCAUAACAAAAUUCCAUCAAAUUGAGUUGUGCAAUUUUUUUUUCAAAAUAACAGGAAUAAAAUGUAAAAUAUUUUAAUAUUUAAAUGUUAUUUAAUUAACACUUGUGCGACCUUCGGGACACUUUCGUCUUUUUCAUUUUUGUUUUUUCGAUCAUUUUGGCUGGGUUAAUGCCAACGGCAUACAUUUGGCCAAAGGUGUGUAUUUUUGAGGGAAUUAUUUCAACCUCAGUUCCUAUAAUGCAUCUAUAGUACAUCUAUAAUGCAUCUAUAGUACAUCUAUAAUGCAUCUAUAGUACAUCUAUAAUGCAUCUAUAGUACAUCUAUAAUGCAUCUAUAGUACAUCUAUAAUGCAUCUAUAGUACAUCUAUAAUGCAUCUAUAGUACAUCUAUAAUGCAUCUAUAGUACAUCUAUAGUACAUCUAUAAUGCGUCUAUAAUACAUCUAUGAUGCAUCUAUAAUGCAUCUAUAGUACAUCUAUAAUGCGUCUAUAAUGCUCUAUAGUACAUCUAUAAUGUAUCUAUAAUACAUGUAUAAUGCAUCUAUAAUGCGUCUAUAAUACAUCUAUGAUGCAUCUAUAAUGCAUCUAUAGUACAUCUAUAAUGCAUCUAUAAUAAAUCUAUAGUACAUCUAUAAUGCAUCUAUAAUACACAAAAUAGACACUCAGGACCUUCAGGACAAAAAUUUCCCCAUUGAAACCCAUUAAAACGGCAAUAUUUGAUCUAAGUGCCAUUAAAGCAUCAAAUCGAUAUUAUACUUAAAUUCUGGAGUCCUGACUUCAAAAUGUACAUUUGUAAUAUUUUCCUCCAGAUGGUGCAAUUUAGCUCAUGUUUAGCCUAUGGAGCAAAUACAAGCUUUUCCCCUAUUUUCUGUUUGCUGUAUUAUAGAGCAGCUGCAGGACAACUGAAUAAAUGAUGCCAAUAAAAUGUGUGUGUGUGUGUGUGUGUGUGUGUGUGUGUGUGUGUGUGUAUAAAACAACAGUGGCAUGAUGUAAACAAACUGGCAUUUAAAGGGUUAAAAUCCUGAAAAUGAAUGAAUAUUUGUUAGUUAUAAGCAGGACUGAUAUCUCACUGAAAGUGGAAAAUAAUAUAUUCCAAAUGGCAAUUUUGUGACGCGGACAUUUUUGUCCUCUAAGGACCUCUGAGUAACUUUUUUAUUGACGCACAAGUUAAAGUUUAUACUAUUCAAUUUGGCGAGGAAGGGUGGGGCGGGGGGGGGUGCGAAGGCACGGUGAGAAAGUGCGAGGCAAUCAACUGUGCUCCACAACUGCUACCGGGUCCUUGACAAAUUUAUGUCAUGCGGGUAAAGGCACCCGCUGGUGUUCCUGGUGCCCCCCGAUGGAGUUGGUGCAGAGCGGCGGUACUGCAGGUAUCUAAAAUACCAAAACUAACACGUUAAAAUAAAUAUACACAUAUUUAAAUUAUAACUGUUGAAUAUUUGAUAUGUUAAUAUCAGAGUUUAUUUACUAGUAAGAAGUGCAUUGUUAAUAUGCAAAAUUAGAAUUUCAACUAAUACAAAAUUAAUGAUAAAUAUCAGUAAUUGUGUUUUGAACAGGAGGGAAAGACGCAUCAUUAUUAAAUUAUACUAGUGAUGGUGAAGUGUAAAUGUAAUGUUAAAAAUGUGCAAUUAGUGCAAUCAGUGUCAAUGUGGCUUGCCAUAUUCACCCUCUCCGCGUGAGUUCAGAAAACAUAUAGUGAAAUCAGUUGCUUUAGCGAGGCUGGAUUGAACCGAAGAGUGCAAUAUAUAAACACAUUGAUCAACCGUAUUUACACGCUGAUCAACUAUUCAUGACAUUUUAAACAUAAUAGAGCAGCGUUUGGGUGAACAGACAUUCUCAAGUUGUGCGUUUACAGAAAUUGUUGAUUUCAUUUAAUGUAAAGUGAAUAUACUGUGUGAUACUAAUGAGCGUUCAGGUCCCUCACAUUCACUGUACAGCAAAUUCAGACUGUUUACAGAGGAAUAAGCUACUAGCAUACUGCUCAUUGUUUAUCAAUGAAAAUUAAUGCAUUUUCAAACGAAAACAGAUUAGGCCACGCCCACAUUUGCGUUUCAAAAACACUAAAUUACCUCAGACUUUGGAAAAUGAUGAUGCUUGGAAACAGAUUAUAGAAACACUAUUUUAGCUUUAAAAUAGACCACGCCCCCUCCCCCCCAAUUACUUCAGCCACACCUCUCUUUCCAAAAACCUACCCUGCAGUGACGUAAGCGAAACCGAACGCACAUAAUGAUUGACAGUCCGAUUGUUUUCUGGUAAACAUGUAAAUAAUUGUAGCCACUGAUAAAAUACAUUUGAAUACUUUGACCAAUUCGGAGUUAAAAUGUUUAUAGAAUGUUUAUAAUCGACACUGACAGGGUUGAGGCAGUUCAUGUGAUGUAAUCGCGAAUCUGUCGUCUAAUAAGGGGGAGGGGUGUGAGUUUCGCGACUUUGUGGGGUUCGCGCAUAGACUGUAAAAAAAAGAUGGCCGACGCCCCUUCGCUCUUUUCCAUUGGUGAGAACUGAAGCCGCCAGUGUCCCGAUAUGGCGCUGACAUCUUGGGACUUGAGUCUCGAUUUCGGGACCAGACCUGCGCAGUAGUGAGCAGGAAGUAAAGCAGCGAAAUCAAGGCCCCGCCCUCACUCACUGAAUCAAUCGCAAGCACACGCCCCUGCACUUUUGACUUUUGACUUAUGACGGUGUGAAAUAAUUCAUUAUAGAAAUGUAGAUAUUAAAUUUAAAGCUCCAAUCUCCUCAGUCCUCCGAAGAUCCCGAAAAAAGUCAGUUGGUGCUUCAGUGACUACUUAGCUCAGAGAACCUGUCAAUCACAGCUGUCAAUCAUGAUGUCACAGCAGCGUUUUUAUAGCAUCAAAUAACUAAAAACAAACUUAUUUUGAAAACAAACACUUGAAAUGACAUCAACGUGAUAGAAACGACAGUAAAUGACAGAAACUAUCUUUGGAAAAAAGAUAUGUGAAGUGUAAUUUAAUUGUUUAGUUGGUCUCACGUCCCGUUGAAUAACAUGGGGAGGCGGGGUUUAUGACCUAUACUAGGACCAGUCACCGGGGGGCGAUCGAGACGUUUUGGCUUCACUUUUGAGGGCUUGUGCGGCACACUUGGGUUCGCGUGAUAUGUGCGUUAACCGACCGUUUGACUGGGGGGGCUUUAAUAACGUAUAACGUGCACUCCUCGGGUAAGAUGGUGCCCCCUAGGUAGUCUGUGCCCUACGCAGACUGCGGAGACUAGGGAGUGUGCUUUUAGGGAGCAGCGGUACUUCAUCGAAAUCCCUAAAGUUUGUUCAGAUGUUGUUUGUUUUGCUGAUAAUGACAAAAUUACCUCCCCCCCCAUACCCCCUGUAUUCUACACCCCUGACUAUACUGAUCAUCAUAACACCCCUGUUGAUAAUGCCCACAUUGUGGCAUGACAAAACCCGUCUGCUGUUGCCGUGCCGUAUCAGUAUGUUUCUGUGUGUCUAUAAAAUACGCAAAAUCUUUCCUGACCGCACUGAAUCCUAGUAAAACCCAAUAAUGAGAGAGCAAGUACCGUUAUUUACGAUCAUGGACAUAUCUUAAGUGUGUUACGUGUCUCUGUGGUGCAUUUUAUGCAAAUUGUGCUUCCACUGUUAGAAUAGUGUAGUCCACAUGUACUGAAUAUUAAAGCGAUUUAUUUAAUUUAAAUGUGUAAUAAUGUGCAAAAAGAAAGGUGUAAUGAUACCGGGUGUGUAACAGGUGACAGAAUGAGUGUAAUAAUGUG